CCCCUUCCAGUCAAGGUGUCACAUAAAAUUCGAAAUUAUCACAUUCGGUCAUCACAAACUGAAUAAAAUAUGAUUGAGAAUGACACAAUAAAGACAAUGACUUAAAAUGAUGCAAUAAAUCUAAUAAGUAAAGAAAUAACGUAUAUAAAAACAUACAUUUAAACCAAAUUUACAUACUUCCUGAGUGCCGCAAUGAAUGCUGGGAAGAUAAACAAUUUCCCCGCUCAGCAUUCCUCAAGCGUAUGCUGUAAUACACACAGACCAAAUAUAGAAAUGCUUCAAAAACUUCUUAAAAUACAUCAUGAAGAUUGUAAAAAGUGUCAGAAUGUCAUUUAAUUUUUUUUCCAGAACGUCAUUAAAUCAUAAAAAGGAGCAAGAGCGGAAGCCAUUUUUUAUUGAAUGUAAUGUCGAAGGAAGAGCUCCCACCAUGCUUUGCGGCACUAAGAAUCGAGUUUAAAUGCAUGUUUUGUGACACUUAUUUUCUUAUUU
Hippocampus zosterae (dwarf seahorse) is the source of this 489-nucleotide long non-coding RNA. RefSeq lists it as uncharacterized. Lineage: Eukaryota; Metazoa; Chordata; Actinopteri; Syngnathiformes; Syngnathidae. The record is from RefSeq and is a predicted model, not a curated record. The transcript has 3 exons.